This 505-nucleotide ribosomal RNA is filed under the name uncultured bacterium. RNAcentral describes it as "partial 16S ribosomal RNA". It matches the Rfam family "Bacterial small subunit ribosomal RNA", at positions 28 to 507 of the family's 1533-position model. The record is from RNAcentral.
GACGAACGCUGGCGGCGUGCCUAAUACAUGCAAGUAGAACGCACAGUUUAUACCGUAGCUUGCUACACCAUAAACUGUGAGUUGCGAACGGGUGAGUAACGCGUAGGUAACCUGCCUGGUAGCGGGGGAUAACUAUUGGAAACGAUAGCUAAUACCGCAUAAUAUUAAUUAUUGCAUGAUAAUUGAUUGAAAGGUGCAAUUGCAUCACUACCAGAUGGACCUGCGUUGUAUUAGCUAGUAGGUGAGGUAACGGCUCACCUAGGCGACGAUACAUAGCCGACCUGAGAGGGUGAUCGGCCACACUGGGAAUGGGACACGGCCCAGACUCCUACGGGAGGCAGCAGUAGGGAAUCUUCGGCAAUGGACGAAAGUCUGACCGAGCAACGCCGCGUGAGUGAAGAAGGUUUUCGGAUCGUAAAGCUCGGUUGUAAGAGGAGAACGGGUGUGAGAGUGGAAAGUUCACACUGUGACGGUAUCUUACCAGAAAGGGACGGCUAACUACGUG